Long non-coding RNA from Xenopus laevis (African clawed frog), 373 nucleotides. RefSeq lists it as uncharacterized. The record is from RefSeq and is a predicted model, not a curated record. NCBI's taxonomy places the organism in Eukaryota, Metazoa, Chordata, Amphibia, Anura, Pipidae. The transcript is spliced from 2 exons.
GACAGGUUGCCAUAAGGUCUGAUGAUGUUUCCAUCUAUUUUUCCUUGGACGAGCGGGACUAUAUAAAAAGAAACAAGGCCCUUUACAAGGAAAGAAUAACGGAGGAGCCCCAGCAGUUUUUCCUGAUGGGCUGCAGUUCAUCUCUGUUCACAGACACAAUUACUUCUGCUGCAUGACUGAACCCAUCACCUGGGCAGAAGUGUAGAAUUAAAAGUCUGAAAGUGGGGGAUGGUUGAAGUGGGAAUGGAGAAUGGUUUAUGGGGUAAAUGUGGGGGUGCUGGGAAUGGACAACAGGAAGACACAGAGGCAGAUGGAAGGGUGAGAGAAUUGCGGAUGACACAAUAAGAAUGGCUUUAUAAGUUAACAAUAUGUC